RNAcentral lists this ribosomal RNA (468 nucleotides) under uncultured bacterium. RNAcentral's name for it is "partial 16S ribosomal RNA". It matches the Rfam family "Bacterial small subunit ribosomal RNA", at positions 28 to 507 of the family's 1533-position model. The record is from RNAcentral.
GACGAACGCUGGCGGCGUGCUUAACACAUGCAAGUCGAACGGAAAGGCCCUGCUUUUGUGGGGUGCUCGAGUGGCGAACGGGUGAGUAACACGUGAGUAACCUGCCCUUGACUUUGGGAUAACUUCAGGAAACUGGGGCUAAUACCGGAUAGGAGCUCCUGCUGCAUGGUGGGGGUUGGAAAGUUUCGGCGGUUGGGGAUGGACUCGCGGCUUAUCAGCUUGUUGGUGGGGUAGUGGCUUACCAAGGCUUUGACGGGUAGCCGGCCUGAGAGGGUGACCGGCCACAUUGGGAUUGAGAUACGGCCCAGACUCCUACGGGAGGCAGCAGUGGGGAAUAUUGCACAAUGGGCGGAAGCCUGAUGCAGCAACGCCGCGUGCGGGAUGGCGGCCUUCGGGUUGUAAACCGCUUUCGCCUGUGACGAAGCGUGAGUGACGGUAAUGGGUAAAGAAGCACCGGCUAACUACGUG